This 233-nucleotide unclassified non-coding RNA is filed under the name plant metagenome. RNAcentral's name for it is "partial contains small subunit ribosomal RNA, internal transcribed spacer 1, and 5.8S ribosomal RNA". The record is from RNAcentral.
UAUCCGUAGGUGAACCUGCGGAAGGAUCAUUAUUGGAUUUUGAAACUUCAGGCUGCUGCUGGCUCUCCUCGGAGGGCAUGUGCACGCUUGUUGUCCAUUAUUUCUCCCUCUGUGCACAAAUUGUAGACCUUUCAGUAGGCCUAUGUUGUUUUUCACAAUCUCUGAAUGUAAUAGAAUGGUUUUGAAUCUUGGGAAAUACAAUACAACUUUCAGCAACGGAUCUCUUGGCUCUC